This 158-nucleotide ribosomal RNA is filed under the name uncultured fungus. RNAcentral's name for it is "5.8S ribosomal RNA". It matches the Rfam family "5.8S ribosomal RNA". From Rfam's summary of the family: 5.8S ribosomal RNA (5.8S rRNA) is a component of the large subunit of the eukaryotic ribosome. Lineage: Eukaryota; Fungi. The record is from RNAcentral.
CAACUUUUAACAAUGGAUCUCUUGGCUCUUGCAACGAUGAAGAACGCAGUAAAGUGCGAAAUGUAAUGCGAUUUGCAUGAAUCUGUGAGUCAUCGAAUUUUUGAACGCAACUUGCGCCCUAUUUUUUUAGGGCAUGUCUGUUUGAGUACCAUAAUCUU